RNAcentral lists this ribosomal RNA (515 nucleotides) under uncultured Glomeromycotina. Its description in RNAcentral is "SSU rRNA". It matches the Rfam family "Eukaryotic small subunit ribosomal RNA", at positions 569 to 1089 of the family's 1831-position model. The record is from RNAcentral. Lineage: Eukaryota; Fungi; Glomeromycota.
AGCAGCCGCGGUAAUUCCAGCUCCAAUAGCGUAUAUUAAAGUUGUUGCAGUUAAAAAGCUCGUAGUUGAACUUCAGGCCUGGCUGGACGGUCCGCCUUCUGGGUGAGUACUGUCUGUGGUCGGGUCCUACCUUCUGGCGAAGCGUCAUGGCCUUAACCGGCCGUGGCGGGGAGCCAGGACUUUUACUGUGAAAAAUUAGAGUGUUCAAAGCAGGCACGCGCUUGAAUACAUUAGCAUGGAAUAAUGGAAUAGGACAGUGGUUCUAUUUGUUGGUUUCUAGGACCGUUGUAAUGAUUAAUAGGGAUAGUUGGGGGCAUUAGUAUUCAAUUGUCAGAGGUGAAAUUCUUGGAUUUAUUGAAGACUAACUACUGCGAAAGCAUUUGCCAAGGAUGUUUUCAUUAAUCAAGAACGAAAGUUAGGGGAUCGAAGACGAUCAGAUACCGUCGUAGUCUUAACCAUAAACUAUGCCGACUAGGAAUCGGGCGAUGUUGACAAAAUGACGCGCUCGGCACCUC